Molecule: ribosomal RNA, 90 nt
Filed under: uncultured bacterium
Lineage: Bacteria
Description: partial 16S ribosomal RNA
Source: RNAcentral
AGCCGGUAACACCCGAAGUCAGUAGUCUAACCGCAAGGGGACGCUGCCGAAGUGGGGCUGGUGAUUGGGGUGAAGUCGUAACAAGGUACC